CAUUACCGAGUUUACAACUCCCAAACCCCUGUGAACAUACCUUAAUGUUGCCUCNGNGGAUCAGCCCGCGCCCCGUAAAACGGGACGGCCCGCCAGAGGACCCAAACUCUAAUGUUUCUUAUUGUAACUUCUGAGUAAAACAAACAAAUAAAUCAAAACUUUCAACAACGGAUCUCUUGGUUCUGGCAUCGAUGAAGAACGCAGCAAAAUGCGAUAAGUAAUGUGAAUUGCAGAAUUCAGUGAAUCAUCGAAUCUUUGAACGCACAUUGCGCCCGCUGGUAUUCCGGCGGGCAUGCCUGUUCGAGCGUCAUUUCAACCCUCAAGCCCCCGGGUUUGGUGUUGGGGAUCGGCUCUGCCCUUCUGGGCGGUGCCGCCCCCGAAAUACAUUGGCGGUCUCGCUGCAGCCUCCAUUGCGUAGUAGCUAACACCUCGCAACUGGAACGCGGCGCGGCCAUGCCGUAAAACCCCAACUUCUGAAUGUUGACCUCGGAUCAGGUAGGAAUACCCGCUGAACUUAAGCAUAUCAA
This 527-nucleotide ribosomal RNA is filed under the name Fusarium acuminatum. RNAcentral describes it as "eukaryotic LSU rRNA". The stretch from base 157 to 310 matches the Rfam family "5.8S ribosomal RNA". Lineage: Eukaryota; Fungi; Ascomycota; Sordariomycetes; Hypocreales; Nectriaceae. The record is from RNAcentral.